AAUCGAUAAGGGCAUACCCGUGCGAAAGCCGGGGACGCAAAGCCACAGGCCUAAAGCGGCGGCAUGUACGGUGCCGCAGCCAGGGUGGCUGGGUUGCCGAA
This 101-nucleotide non-coding RNA is filed under the name Paenibacillus sp. Its description in RNAcentral is "c-di-GMP sequence". It matches the Rfam family "c-di-GMP-I riboswitch aptamer". Rfam says of the family: GEMM was predicted in a large-scale screen for bacterial structured RNA regulatory elements. Genes associated with GEMM are involved in a diverse array of functions, including chemotaxis regulation, signal transduction, secretion and chitin. Lineage: Bacteria; Bacillati; Bacillota; Bacilli; Caryophanales; Paenibacillaceae. The record is from RNAcentral.